UGCUUUGUUUGUGUCUUACAUGGUUCUAUUUUUCCUUGUUUCUUAAGCAAAACCCUUUGUUUAUGAGAAACAAAGAAAAGAAAAAACGAUUACAUAAGCUUCUAAGUCACAGACUGAGAAUAAGAAACACAUAACCAUAGGCUCAGAGUUUAAGAGAACAGCCAUGUACCUGUUUCUUCCCAGUCUUGAAACGUUCAUGCAAGGGUGGUGUUUGUGUCCUCUUGACCUUGGAUCUCAUCAGUUUCUACAAUAAGAAAAACCGAGCUAUUAAUCUAAAAGCUGCAGUCCAAAAGCCAUAUAAGUUUACUAUUAUAAACGAGUUCAAGAUGUGAAUAUUACCAACUUCUUGAAAUCCACGAAACCAGUUUCUAGUACAUAGGAGGGCUUGCACAUUAGUAGGUAAAAGGCAGCUUCUAUAUUUGUUAAGCACACGACUACCUAUACUAAAAGCUGAUUCCGAUGCCACGGUAGUGAUCGGAAUGCUUAAGAUAUCACAUGCCAUCGAUGACAAUUCUUUAAAACGCGAGACAUUGUUUUUCCAAUAUGCAAUAACAUCCAUAUCUUUAAAAGAGACCAUAUCUAACACAGGCUCUUCCAAGUACAUAUCUAAUGGUGAUUUUCCAGUUCCAUUUCUUUGAGAAAAGUAAGAGUAAAACCCCUGAAAUAUGACCAACAAAAGAAAAUAUGACCAACCGUAUAGUUCAACAAUCACAACAGACAACCCAUUCUCACUAAGUAUAAGAAUGCAUUUUCAUAGCCACUAACUAUCACAACAAACAAACAUACAAGAACAAUACUGUAAACACACAAAAUUAGCAACUUACAUCAUAUCCAAAUGGGAUAUCCUUUCGUGAAGAUUGAGAAGUGCUUGCUGCAACGUUGCAUGUGGUUCUUUUAUAAGCUCCAAAUAGUUGAACCAUCUUAUCACGCACAUGAGUCAAGUUUUCCUUACUGGUCAAUGGAUUCAGAAUAUUAUAACAAUAUUCUAAAGCUGAGAAUUUCAAUCUUGGAUCAAGAACUGCAGCCAUCGCAAGAAUGUCGCUGAAAUCUUCCCAAUAUUUAUCAUAUUUCUCCGUCAUAUCUUCCACCAUUUCACGAAUAACCCUAUCAUGAGAAUCAUCAUGAUCUCCCAGCCAACAUUUAAUCGCUCAUACUUGCAUAAAAUACACGUUUGCUGUCGGAUAAGACGAACCCGAAAUCAGCUUUGUAAUCUCAGCAAAUGGUUUCAAAAGGUCACAUAUCAGUUCUGCUCUUUCCCACUCCACAGCAGAUGGGAAACUCUUAUAAACCCUAUCUACUUCUGCAAGACUACGCAAUACAUCCUUAAACUGAAUUGCUCGUGAGAGCAUAUGAUAAGUGGAGUUCCAGCGGGUUGAGACAUCUAAAACUAAACUUGCCUCAGUUUGAAUUCCAAUUGUAUCCAUACAAUUCUGAAAUAAAUUUUCUCGAGUCUCAGAUCCUUUCACAUACUUCACAGUCUCUCUAAUUUUCUCCAAAGCUCCAGAUAUCACUUCCAAACCAUCUUGAACUAUCAAGUUUAGGAUAUGUGCUGAACAUCUCACAUGAAAGAAUUCUCCGCUGCAGACAAGAUCUUUUUGUAGCUUUCUCUUUAAAAUGCUUUGCAUAGUAUCAUUUGCAGAAGCAUUAUCCACAGUUAAAGUAAAAAUUUUCUUCUCAAUUCCCCAAUCUUUCAACAGCUCACUAAGCUUCAUUGCUAUAGCUACUCCAGAAUGUGGAGGCGGGAAAGCAGAGAAAGAUAAGAUCUUCGUUUUCAGAACACCAUCAACAUCUACAUAAUGAGCUGUUAAGCAAAUAUAACUUUCAACAGUUAAAGCUCUCCACAAAUCUGUUGUUAAGCAUAUUCUACCCGGGAUUAUAGCUAACUUUUCCUUAAGCUUAAUUUUCUCUCUUUCAUAAAUCUUGUAGACAUCAGAAGCUGCAGUAUUUCUGCUCCAAAAUUCUAUAGAAGGGUUAGCAUAUGUAAAGGCUUCUCUAAUUCUUUCAUAUUCGACAAACGAAUAUGGAAGAUUAUGUUGAACUAAAGCCACUGCAAUCAUUUCUCUAAAGACCAUCAUAUCCACCUUUCUGCUAAUUCUAGGUGUACUUCCAGGAGUCUUUUCACAAGAUCUCAUAUGACGAUUCAUGGUAUUAGUACCAUUUCGUCUCAGAUUCAAGUGAUAAGUCUGCUCACAAUAUUUGCAUGUAACCUCAGUUUUCCCAUUAGGAUAUUUCUGUCCUCUAUCGAAGUUUUUCCAGCAUGCAGCACGAAAUCUACUUACACUACUAUUACCUCUCUCAGCUGUCCCUGAAGAAGCAGUUUCAUGAGGUAGUAUUUGAUCCAUUUCUGGAUCUUCAUGGUCCAUUUCUUGAUCCUCAAGAUUAAAGUUGUCUUCAUCAACCAAGUUUUGAGUAUCCAAUUCCAUAUUUCUGAAACAAAUAAAGACAUACACACGUUUAGCAGUGAUAAUUAAGCAUGAACAAAUCACAUUCCAAUGAGAAAUAUACGAUAAUAAUCAAUAAGACA
RNAcentral lists this small RNA (2524 nucleotides) under Arabidopsis thaliana (thale cress). Its description in RNAcentral is "ATSL062590". Lineage: Eukaryota; Viridiplantae; Streptophyta; Magnoliopsida; Brassicales; Brassicaceae. The record is from RNAcentral.